RNAcentral lists this long non-coding RNA (2141 nucleotides) under Nicotiana benthamiana. RNAcentral's name for it is "long non-coding RNA (NBEN_LNC012990)". The record is from RNAcentral. Lineage: Eukaryota; Viridiplantae; Streptophyta; Magnoliopsida; Solanales; Solanaceae.
GAUAUCAACCACACGAUUCAUCAUUGCUGAUCAGAACCGAGCAUUUUCAAAGCAUUGAGUAUGAAAGUGUACGUAAAGGCAUCCUCCUGGAGCUUCUCAAAUCUGCAACAGACAAGGAAGGUUGGUUAAAACUGUGACAAUGAGAUAGUAUGAUUUUCUCUAUGUUUCUUCUUUUUUGAAAAUUUCUACCAGGACAAUUGCUAAUAGAGAAUGGAACUCUAUAGAUUUUAGUUUGAAAGUGGAAUGGAAAUACGAAAACCACAUGCAAUGAUUAUGAAGUAUAUCGUGAAACUGUAUUCUCACAAUCAAAUUUCAAGAAUCAAAUUCCUGUUACUCCAUUUUGUGCUUUAAACACAGAGAAAUCGGCAGGAAACUUGAGCAAAUGAAAAUAUGAAUGACAUGGAGAAGCUAGUUAUGACUAUCUCACUCAACUUUGUACAUUCUCCAUUUUCCAUCGGACCAUUUACAAAUUUUCAAAUUGUCAUAAUGCAAAAAUAACAGACAGUUAAGAAUUAGAAAUUUUCUUACUUAUAAAACCCAAAAAACUUUGAAGGAAUUUCAAUGACUUCGUCCGUCCUAAAAGCUAGAUAUUUAGUGAAUCUUUUUUGUUGGUAUAAACAGAACAUUGUAGAUAAUGUUGUAUACAUUCUGGACUUGGUAGGCUCGCUGUAUUUUGGUUAGCAAUGGCAAGGAACAUGUAAAGGGGCCCAAUUUUUUGCCUGAAUGGUACUUCUUAUGAGAUGUACUUCUUUGCAUGCACUGGAUGCAUAUCAAUAAAAUUUCAUUACUUCAUCAAAAAAAGAGAACACCGAAGCAUUAUCUAAAGAAGGGAAUCCAAGUCCUUAGAUAGGAAAAGGCCUUUUUUCCUCUUAUAUAUUCUUUAACCUUUUAAAGUCGCAUGGAAAAGAAGAAAAAAAGACAUCGAUUUCGGCCCUAGUAUACGAAGAGCACGUUUUUUUUUAAGUUGCUUCGCUUCACCAGCGUGGAGCGAGGACCCCUCACUUAUGCUUCAUUGAUUUAUGUGUCAAAUAGAUGGCUUUUAAUAGCAUUAGUAUGAGACUAUGAUCUUAAUUCCAGAAAGCAGAAAUAUACUUCAGAAUCUUGAUAAGCCAUGUAUUUUCCAUACAUAUUCAAAGAGGAAGAAGCAAAGAUAUAUAGGAGAAGAUAAUGAUGUGCUUCUUCUCAAAUUCCUGGAGCUUCCAAACAUGGAGGAUUAAGCAGUUUCCUACGGUUAUUAGAAGUUAUCUGUUAGCAAUUUAUUAAGGUUAGUAGAAAAUAUCUAUCUUUAUCCUAACUUGGUUAUGGAAUAGUUAUGGUCAGCCUACUAUAUAGAUAAUAGAUCUUGUAAUGUAAAGGUAAUUAUUAUCCUUUAUAUUAUUAGAAGUUAUCUAUUAGCAAUUUAUUAAGGUUAGUAAAAGAUAUCUAUCUUUAUGCUAACUUGGUUAUGGAAUAGUUAUGGCCAGCCUAUUAUAUAGAUAAUACGUCUUGUAAUGUAUAUGUAUAUGGUAAUUAUUAUCCUUUAUAUGCAGACAGAUUAUUCUGUAAAAUAUGAGAUGUUUGUGUCUCUCCAUUAUUAAUAAUAUCAGCGUAGAUUCUUUCUAUUUCCAUUAUAAAAAUCUCUGCUCCUAUCAUUCAUUUGUAUCAGAGGAGUAAAAUCUGCCAUGGUGAAUGCAUCACUGACCAACACUCCCACAUCAAACUCAUCAUCCGAUAUUGACAACUAUAGCAACGAAAUUGGAGGCCAUAGAUGCUUUGGUCGCUGAUGUGGCUGUCUUAAAGGCACAAAACAGUCUGAACCAGCAUGGUGCAGGCGAUAACAGUGGAGAUCACAACAAUAAAGGGAAAGCUAAAGCACCAGAGGAUAGCAAGGUUGAUAUCACUUGGUGGCAUCAAGAAACUUCCCGUCAUUUGCAGACAAAAAUGUAAUUUUCGAAGUAAGAGAGAGGUGAUCCUCGAGGUUGGAUUCUGAAGAGAAGUUGAUUAUUCCGACCACUUUCAAAUUUAUUUCGGCAGCUAGAGUGUUCCUUCCAUGUUUCAGGGAGAUACAGUUGAUUAUUUUCAUUAUUUGUUUCUCGAACUCUCUCCAAUCCAACGAUGUCUUCGAAAUUUGAUGUACUUGGUUCUAAAAACACAGGUUCUGG